Molecule: long non-coding RNA, 212 nt
Filed under: Mytilus galloprovincialis (Mediterranean mussel)
Lineage: Eukaryota; Metazoa; Mollusca; Bivalvia; Mytilida; Mytilidae
Source: RNAcentral
UAAAAUUACCAAUUCAGGGGCAGCAACCCAACAACCGGUUGUCCGAUUCAUCUGAAAAUUUCAGGGCAGAUAGAUCUUGACUUGAUAAACAAUUUGAUCUUGUCAGAUUUGCUCUCAAUGCUUUGGUUUCAGAGUUAUAAGCCAAAAUCUACAUUUUACCCCUAUAUUCUAUUUUUAGCCAUGGCGGCCAUCUUAGUUGGUUGGCCGGGUCA